Molecule: long non-coding RNA, 1765 nt
Filed under: Betta splendens (Siamese fighting fish)
Lineage: Eukaryota; Metazoa; Chordata; Actinopteri; Anabantiformes; Osphronemidae
Description: lncRNA (ENSBSLG00000012537.1)
Source: RNAcentral
ACACAAAACUACAUACUAGAUAUAUUUAUCUCGUCAAAUUUAAACAUGUAUUGAUUGGGAGGGAGCAAAUGGGAGGGCUGGAGAUGAUGAGGUGAUAAAAAGCGUCAUAAAAGCAUGCGUCUGACCAUAUCCUCCAGUCUUUGCAGUAGAAAGGAAAGUCAUCACCGACAGCUUCACAGGCCUAUAAGGAGCAACCUUCAGGACUGAUUUAUUCCGCAAAAUUCAUAUUUAUAUUUUGGUGGCACAGAAAACCUCAGCUUUACAACAAUGCAGCUCAAUUUACUCACUCUGACGCUUUGCUUACUUGGCACAGUAACUCUAUGUGGAGCACAGGAUAACACCACAACUGCAAACCCAGCACCAAGCGUUCCUCCUGACGUCAGUACCACUGAGCUCCCCGGUACCCUGCCAACAGGAUCACAACCCGUACCCGUCACAAACACAACUGACGCCACUGGCAGCACCAACGGGACCACCGCGGACCCAAAUACGCCGACACACGAGGCCAACACCACCUCGCCCGCCCCCACCGCGGAGGCGUCUGGGGGAGGUGGGCUGUCGUCGGGGGCUAUAGCUGGAAUCACCAUCGGCUCCAUCGCCGGGGUCGCUGCAGUGGGUGAGUGCGAUGCUCAGUCCGUAACCUUAGUAACGAGCUUGUUUUAACAGCUCGUUAAGAUAUAAUGCAAGGGUCAGAUUUGAUCCUGUACACAGACGAAAGAAAGGCGUUCUGCUCUGUUUUCAGGUGGAGGCAUCUUUGGAGCACUCAAGUACACGGGGAGGAUCUGAGACUGGUCCUCACCUAAAAGGAGUAAAGGACUAGAAACUAAAAGUCCACUUUUGUCUGAAAGGCCCAACUGAGAUUUAAACGUUAUGAACACAAUGUACAAGCUAAUGUCAGGGGCCAGGAGGAAGACAACACAGUGGAUUGGACUUUAUUCACCCAUGGGAUUAUGAUCUAUUACUGUAUGAAAUUUUGGUUUAUUAAGAACAGAACUAAAAUGGAAAGAUUUCCAUGAUUUUAAUUGUAAAGUGUAUCAAUGUCUAAUGUGUCUUCUGUUUGAUACUGUUCUGUCCAGUAACUUGGAUUGAUAUUAAAACUAAUUAACCAGAGAUUUUAAUAAGCUUUUACUUAUUAUAAGAUUAUUUUUCACCUUGUUUGGAACAGCUGUAGAGACAUUACGUUUUUCCCAAUGCUAACGCAUGUCGCUGAUAUGAGCAUUAUGACGUCACAAUAACUCAAGCUGUUUGAGUGUGAUGAGAUGUGAAUGUGUACGUGAGAACUGAGAAACGCCAGAUUAUGGGUGGUUGCAGCAUGUUGUGGUCUCAGAGUAAAAGACUUGACCUUAGAGUGCAGAGUACAAAUUUAGCAACAACGCAGUAUUUAAAGCAUUAACAAACGGGAUGCUGUCAACAACACACACAAACCUGAAAUCAAACUUGUGUCUGAUUUAAAUAAUGCAGAAAUGUAAACACUUGCAUAAACAUUUUUUCCUCCACUUCUCUAGAUCAGUCUCAUGUCACAGUGGGCUUCAGCCCCCGUCGGGCCUGUGGGGUCAUGGUAUGAUUAUUAACCACGCAUGCAUCAACAAUGUAUGGCUGCAACACAGCACAGCCGUCCAUGCAGGGAGUUUACGGCCGCAUGAUCACAAAGUGUUGGGUUUGUGCGAGAGCCGGGGGGUGUUACUGCAUGCUGGGGGCAGGGAGGGUCCAAUCUGGGAGCAUUUGCUAAGAUUAAAAUAAAAUGCUAUAUUUAAUAAGAGUUACA